CGCAGUGACACGGGGUGCCCUGAAUCCACUGAUUCGGGCUGAGAUGACACCCGUCGAACCUGAUCCGGAUAACGCCGGCGAAGGGAUGUCCGUACACGGCCGG
Molecule: regulatory RNA element, 103 nt
Organism: Nocardiopsis sp. JB363
Lineage: Bacteria; Bacillati; Actinomycetota; Actinomycetes; Streptosporangiales; Nocardiopsidaceae
Rfam family: TPP riboswitch aptamer (THI element)
About the family: Vitamin B(1) in its active form thiamin pyrophosphate (TPP) is an essential coenzyme that is synthesised by coupling of pyrimidine and thiazole moieties in bacteria. The previously detected thiamin-regulatory element, thi box was extended, resulting in a new, highly conserved RNA secondary structure, the THI element, which is widely distributed in eubacteria and also occurs in some archaea.
Source: Rfam